RNAcentral lists this unclassified non-coding RNA (703 nucleotides) under Hevea brasiliensis (rubber tree). The record is from RNAcentral. Lineage: Eukaryota; Viridiplantae; Streptophyta; Magnoliopsida; Malpighiales; Euphorbiaceae.
UUUGAAAGUCUAAUUUCUGCUGCAAUAUCUUUUUACAUGCAUUGACAAGCUGCAUCUUGCAAGUUCUUAUCUCUUUCAGUUUCACUUGUUUUUUACAAUCUUCUGCAGUGUGUUGGACUUCCCUUUGUACCAAGUUUUCUUGGGCAGUUGGAAACUAGUGAAGAUAUGAUCCACGGAGUGAAUUUUCUCCCUGCUUUUUUCAUUGGAUAUUUAGUUUUUAUUUUUCUAGUAUUUUUGCUGAUUCUUUAAACUCAUUGAACUAAAAUGGCCUUGAAAGCCUGCUCCUCAAAAAUGCAAAAAAUUGGAUUAACUAAGCUCUACACUAACAAUCCAUUAAUUCUUUGUUCAGGUGUGAAUGUAAAUCAUCUUCUCCUGCAUCCAAAUUGCCUAGUCCUUAAGUCAUAAUGUCCUCAAAUCUGCAAGUUCUUGAAGUUGGUAUAAUCUUGCACCUGAGGCAAGGACUUUCUUUAACUUGCAACUAGUAGCCAUUUGGCUGAUUAAUCAAUACAAAAUUUCAUAUGGUUUAUUCUUGUUAUAGUUGACUAUCAUAUGACUACUUAGAUGAAGGGGAAAGUUUAUUUGUAGUUAAAUAAUUUGUUUAUGGAGCACCUGUAAUUUUGUAUUGGAAUGAUAGAAAUGUAAUAUUAUUUGGUAUAAUUGAAUGUAAUUCAUUUACAACAAUAAUAUUUGUGCUUGUAAUUUU